GCCCUAGUAGCUUAAUUCAAAGCAUCGGUCUUGUAAUCCGAAGAUUGGAGGUUAAAUCCCCCCCUAGUGCC
RNAcentral lists this transfer RNA (71 nucleotides) under Oreonectes guananensis. Its description in RNAcentral is "tRNA-Thr". It matches the Rfam family "tRNA". From Rfam's summary of the family: Transfer RNA (tRNA) molecules are approximately 80 nucleotides in length. The record is from RNAcentral. Lineage: Eukaryota; Metazoa; Chordata; Actinopteri; Cypriniformes; Nemacheilidae.